GUGCCCUUAAUGCGAUUCAAACAAGUUUGACGUCGGUUUGGUCAGCGUCGGCGCAACUGUUCUCUGCUUCUGUUUAUAUUUCAUUGAGUGCAGUUAUUUACGUCGUCAUUGUUUUCCUGCCUUGUCUUUGUUGUUGUCGCCAUGCCUAUAUGGCUGCUACUCUUUUUCCUUUUCAUUUUUCGCGGUACGUUUUCCUUUUUUUUCUAUUUGUUCGUUAGCAUUCUGGUUUAAAAAUUUUGAGGAGUUGAAGUUGUGUGAUAUUGUUGUUGUCAUACGUGCAGCUAGCUGCUAGAUGGAGCAUUUUUUGUAGAAUCAGCAGGAGACAGAUAGCCGUUGUGCGAAUCUGUAGCACUGAAGGAAUCACUUGUGCGCGCGCCAUCGAAAUGAACGGUUGUUUUUAUAUCUCGUCCGCUAGUAAAGAGACUUCAGUAAAGCCGGUAGGAUCGUCAAGUCGAAUUAUAGAGCAGCAUAUAAUAGUGUAGCACAAUAAUUGACGUUGUAACGAAUGUUCUUGUUGGGACAUAUUAAUUUACAGUUACACUAGCGUGGGAGGAGUUCUUUAUCAUUUUCAGUGAACAUUGCAUUUGUGUAUAUCAAUUAUUAGGAAAAAAAUAAUUUUGAAAAACCGUUAUGUUAUUUUGCUUAUCGCAACAUUACAGUGCCUUACCAACUUUCCGUGUAUUAUUUGAAAUGUGUUUUUUUUUUCAUAUUGUCAAAAAGUACGUGAAAUUGGAAUUAAACAUAAAAACAUUUUAUUUAUCUACACUAAUUGGCAAAUAAAUAACCUUGAUUUAAUCAGUGAUUCAGCAAUUUUAUGUUAAACUUUUCAUCUGUAAAAAUAUUCAAGUGUAUGCAAACAGAAAAAUCCACAAUAAGCUUUGAAUGGCGCUUCCAAAACGUACGUUACCCCAUUUGAAAUUUAAAGCAAUAUUCCUCAAUAGUCAGGAGUUAGAGUUUAUGAAAAUGAUAAAUUUUCUAACAAAAGUGAUUUGGUGAACAGCGCCCGAACAGUUUUAAAAAAUUUGGAGAAAUUGAAAUUUUAAUAAGGUUGAGUAUGUGAAGUAUACAAAAAACACUUAUUAUUACAAAAAAAACUUUAAAAUUAACAAAGAUGAAAUUAUCCUGUUAAAAAAAUAAAUUCUCGCAUCUGUAAUAACAAUUAAAAUGUAUAAUAAAUUUUGAUUUACGAAUUGAUUUUGGUCUUACUGUAAAAUAUUUAGAGAAUUUGAAAGAAAUAAGUGAAUUUUAAAAUUCUAUCGUUUUAUUUUUACUACCAACAGUCAUAAUUUUUAUUUCACAAUUUCAUUUACGAAUGUAUGUUCAAUUUAAGCAAAUAAAAAGUCCUACAUUUCAAAAUUCCUGAAAAUAUAAGUAUGCAUACCGACAUACAAAUUUUUUUAUAUUCAACUGAAAAUAAUUAACUUUCCUCGUGCAUACCAACUAAAAAUAGCGCCCCCAUAAGAUGCUCACCUUCCUUAUCGAUUUUACCAUACGCUUUCUCAUUCAUUUCAUGUAUUUUUUAUUAUUUAAUUUAUUUUUCUAUAGCAAAGAAAAUUUUCUCUACCUACAUUUUGUACAUAUUAAAUUAAAACAUAAAAGUAAAUAUUUAAUAGUAAAUAAAAUAUCUCAAAUAACGAAAGAGCGUGAGAGCUAGUUGAGAGUUCGAAACUAAGAGCGUGCUAAAUAACUUCUGCAUCAGCGUAUGUGUGUGAAGAGAGUUAAUAAGCGGGGCAAAAAACGAAUAUAAAAUAGAAAAUUAUUGUUCGCAUAUUUAAACAAAAAAUUAAAUUAAAUAAAAAAUCAAACGCACACACACAUGCACAAACAUUUAAUAAAAUACAAUGAUACAAUUAAAUAUAUAGUAUUAUAAUUAGAAAUAAAUUCAAUUGUCGCUUACG
This is a long non-coding RNA of Zeugodacus cucurbitae (melon fly), 1898 nucleotides long. RefSeq lists it as uncharacterized. NCBI's taxonomy places the organism in Eukaryota, Metazoa, Arthropoda, Insecta, Diptera, Tephritidae. The record is from RefSeq and is a predicted model, not a curated record. The transcript is spliced from 3 exons.